CGGACUUCUCCGUCGCCGCCACAGGGAGCCACUGGAGAAGGGCUAAAGAGCAGCAUGUGGCUCCGGAGCCAUAGGUUGCCUACCCCUGGUCUAGACUGAUAAAGAACACUACAGGGGGUCAGCUAUUGACUGGGAUCUUGUGCCACGGCUACAAGACAGAAAGGAAGACCCUCACUGGACCCAC
Molecule: long non-coding RNA, 184 nt
Organism: Epinephelus fuscoguttatus (brown-marbled grouper)
Lineage: Eukaryota; Metazoa; Chordata; Actinopteri; Perciformes; Serranidae
Exons: 3
Source: RefSeq, a predicted model, not a curated record